This 406-nucleotide ribosomal RNA is filed under the name uncultured bacterium. RNAcentral describes it as "partial 16S ribosomal RNA". It matches the Rfam family "Bacterial small subunit ribosomal RNA", at positions 30 to 526 of the family's 1533-position model. The record is from RNAcentral.
AUUGAACGCUGGCGGCAGGCCUAACACAUGCAAGUCGAACGAGUGGCGGACGGGUGAGUAAUGUCUGGGAAACUGCCUGAUGGAGGGGGAUAACUACUGGGAACGGUAGCUAAUACCGCAUACCAUCAGAUGUGCCCAGAUGGGAUUAGCUUGGGGGUGGGGUAACGGCUCACCAAGGCGACGAUCCCUAGCUGGUAUGAGAGGAUGACCGGCAACACGGGAACUGUGACACGGUCCAGAUCCCUACGGGGGGCAGCAGUGGGGAAGUUUGCACAAUGGGCACAGUCCUGAUACAGCCAUGCCGCGUGUAUGAAGAAGGCCGUCGGGUUUUAAAGUACUUUCAUCGGGGAGGCGUUACCCGCAUAAGAAGCACCGGCUAACUCCGUGCCAGCAGCCGCGGUAAUAC